Molecule: long non-coding RNA, 852 nt
Organism: Alligator mississippiensis (American alligator)
Lineage: Eukaryota; Metazoa; Chordata; Crocodylia; Alligatoridae
Exons: 3
Source: RefSeq, a predicted model, not a curated record
GCAGUCCAGGAGGAAGGAGCUCUGUCAUGGAAGAGAAGGGAGGCCUGGCUGCAGGAGCAGUGUUUGGCACUGCUAAGGGAUGGAGUAUUUCCCGGUCAGCAGGCCCUUACUAAAGCAGCAUGACAGCAGCAAUUGUUGAAAAAAGAGACAUCAUCAUGUGCAUGGAACUUGUGGGGCACGGUCACAGUCACACAAGGAAAGAAUCUGAAGGAGGCAGCAGAAACCCAACAAUUUCCUCACUACAGCUUUCUGACAGUGCCUGACUGUGAAACCUGCCUCCAGAGCAGACUGUAUUCCCCUCUGCUGGCCAAAAAGAACAAGAAUGAGAGCUAAUACACUUGAGAGAAAGAAAGGCAAAUGACAGCCAUGGCAGUAAAUGCAAGCAAAUUGAGCUUGGCUGUGAAGCCAGUUAAAGAACAAAACCCUGCUAGUCAAGAUAGACGGUGGGUUUUUUUUGGUCCAGGUUUUAAAAAUUCUCGCUUCUAAACACAACAGUAAGGGGGAAGAGGGGUAGGUCACAUAAUUGUGGUGGCAACAGCCUUUCAGCAUGAACCCCUAAAUAAUGUGACCUUGCCUGAGUAUUCAAGCAGGUUGUUUGUGUCAGUAUCACAAAAUCAAGGUGACUUGUAUUUGUACUCUGUCUGCAUGCACGUCUUCCAUUUUUUAGCCUUAUUUUGGUGCAUACAGUCCCUAGGAAAUGUAAUUAAAACCAGUGUACGUGAGUGAUUGAAUUUAGUAUGUGUAAAUUCUUCAGCACUGGUAGUGGAAUCUGCCAGCUUCAUGCAUGUGUUGAUGCAAUGAAGGUCCAUGAAGGUGUGCAAAUGGAUAACAAUUGGCAUGUCCACAUGUGCA